GGGGCAUUAGCACAGCUGGUAGCGCGCUACAUUCGCAUUGUAGAGGUCAGCGGUUCGAAUCCGCUAUGCUCCACCA
RNAcentral lists this transfer RNA (76 nucleotides) under Clostridiales bacterium. Its description in RNAcentral is "tRNA-Ala". It matches the Rfam family "tRNA". Rfam says of the family: Transfer RNA (tRNA) molecules are approximately 80 nucleotides in length. RNAcentral also lists the same sequence under 1 other name. Lineage: Bacteria; Bacillati; Bacillota; Clostridia; Eubacteriales. The record is from RNAcentral.